AUGAAUUGUCAAGGGGGGGUUGUUGCUGGCCUCUCAUCUGAUAAGCAUGUGCACGCCCCCCCUUUUUACAUCCAUCCACACCUGUGCACCCUCUGUAGUUCCAAAGUGGGAGAGCCCGUAAGGCUUUCACAAUCUGGCACUAUGUCUCUUUACAAACGCUUUAUGUAUAGAGUGUCGGCUCAGCGUAUAACAAACGCAGAAAUAUAAAA
RNAcentral lists this unclassified non-coding RNA (209 nucleotides) under soil metagenome. RNAcentral's name for it is "partial internal transcribed spacer 1". The record is from RNAcentral.